CCCUUAGAUGUUCUGGGCCGCACGCGCGCUACACUGAUGCAUUCAACGAGUCUAAAACCUGCUCUGAUAGGGGUGGGUAAUCUUUUGAAUGUGCAUCGUGAUUGGGAUAGAUGAUUGCAAUUUUUCAUCUUCAACGAGGAAUGCCUAGUAAACGCAAGUCAUCAGCUUGCAUUGAUUACGUCCCUACCCUUUGUACACACCGCCCGUCGCUCCUACCGAUUGAAUGAUCCGAUGAAUAUCAUGGAUUGAGGAUGCAAGUAGGUUAGCCUAUCUUCAUCUUCGAGAAGUGAAGUAAAUCUUAUCAUUUAGAGGAAGGAGAAGUCGUAACA
RNAcentral lists this ribosomal RNA (329 nucleotides) under uncultured eukaryote. RNAcentral describes it as "partial 18S ribosomal RNA". It matches the Rfam family "Eukaryotic small subunit ribosomal RNA", at positions 1470 to 1796 of the family's 1831-position model. The record is from RNAcentral.